RNAcentral lists this ribosomal RNA (836 nucleotides) under uncultured marine bacterium. RNAcentral's name for it is "bacterial SSU rRNA". It matches the Rfam family "Bacterial small subunit ribosomal RNA", at positions 57 to 941 of the family's 1533-position model. The record is from RNAcentral.
GCAAGUCGAACGCAGUAGCAAUACUGAGUGGCAAACGGGUGAGUAUAAUGUGGGAAUCUGCCUUUUGGUUUGGAAUAACACGGGGAAACUUGUGCUAAUACCGAAUAAGCCCUUACGGGGAAAGUUUUAACGCCGAAAGAUGAGCCUGCACUUGAUUAGCUAGUUGGUAAGGUAAAAGCUUACCAAGGCAACGAUCAAUAGCUGUUCUUAGAGGAAGACCAGCCACAUUGGGACUGAGACACGGCCCAGACUCCUACGGGAGGCAGCAGUGGGGAAUCUUGCACAAUGGGGGAAACCCUGAUGCAGCGAUGCCGCGUGAGUGAAGAAGGCCCUUGGGUUGUAAGACUCUUUCGUCGGGGAAGAAAAUGACUGUACCCGAAUAAGAAGGUCCGGCUAACUUCGUGCCAGCAGCCGCGGUAAUACGAAGGGACCUAGCGUAGUUCGGAAUUACUGGGCUUAAAGAGCUCGUAGGUGGUUAAAAAAGUUGAUGGUGAAGUCCCAAGGCUCAACCUUGGAACUGCCAUCAAAACUUUUUAGCUAGAGUGUGAUAGAGGUAAGUGGAAUUUCUAGUGUAGAGGUGAAAUUCGUAGAUAUUAGAAAGAACACCAAAUGCGAAGGCAACUUACUGGGUCACUACUGACACUGAGGAGCGAAAGCAUGGGUAGCGAAGAGGAUUAGAUACCCUCGUAGUCCAUGCCGUANACGAUGUGUGCUAGACGUUGGAAAUAUAUUUUUCAGUGUCGCAGCGAAAGCAUUAAGCACACCGCCUGGGGAGUACGACCGCAAGGUUAAAACUCAAAUGAAUUGACGGGGACCCGCACAAGCAGUGGAGCAUG